Molecule: ribosomal RNA, 492 nt
Filed under: uncultured bacterium
Lineage: Bacteria
Description: partial 16S ribosomal RNA
Rfam family: Bacterial small subunit ribosomal RNA
Source: RNAcentral
AGUGAACGCUGGCGGUAGGCCUAACACAUGCAAGUCGAACGGCAGCACAGUAAGAGCUUGCUCUUACGGGUGGCGAGUGGCGGACGGGUGAGGCAUACAUCGGAAUCUACUUUUUCGUGGGGGAUAACGUAGGGACACUUACGCUAAUACCGCAUACGACCUACGGGUUAAAUCAGUGGAUCUUCGGACCUUGCGCGAUUGAAUGAGCCGAUGUCGGAUUAGCUAGUUGGCGGGGUAAAGGCCCACCAAGGCGACGAUCCGUAGCUGGUCUGAGAGGAUGAUCAGCCACACUGGAACUGAGACACGGUCCAGACUCCUACGGGAGGCAGCAGUGGGGAAUAUUGGGCAAUGGGCGCAAGCCUGAUCCAGCCAUACCGCGUGAGUGAAGAAGGCCUUCGGGUUGUAAAGCCCUGUUGUUGGGAAAGAAAAGCAGCAGGUUAAAACCCCGCUGUUCUGACGGUACCCAAAGAAUAAGCACCGGCUAACUUCGUG